GGAUUGAUACUAAGCCAUGCGAGUCUUUGCAGUAAUGCAAGGCAUACGGCUCAGUAACACGUAGUCAACUUACCCUAUGGACGAGGAUAAUCUCGGGAAACUGAGCAUAAUACUCGAUAGAUCAUAAUGCCUGGAGUGGUUUAUGGUUGAAAUGAUUCGUCGCCAUAGGAUGGGACUGCGGCCUAUCAGCUUGUUGGUGAGGUAAUGGCCCACCAAGGCGAUUACAGGUACGGGCUCUGAGAGGAGAAGCCCGGAGAUGGGUACUGAGACAAGGACCCAGGCCCUAUGGGGCGCAGCAGGCGAGAAAACUUUGCAAUGUGCGAAAGCACGACAAGGUUAAUCCGAGUGAUUUCUGCUAAAGAAAUCUUUUGCAAGUCAUAAAACCACUAGUGAAUAAGGGGUGGGCAAGUUCUGGUGUCAGCCGCCGCGGUAAAACCAGCACCUCAAGUGGUCAGGAGGAUUAUUGGGCCUAAAGCAUCCGUAGCCGGCUCUGUAAGUUUUCGGUUAAAUCCAUGUGCUCAACGCAUGGGCUGCCGAAAAUACUGCAUAGCUAGGGAGUGGGAGAGGUAGACGGUACUCGGUAGGAAGGGGUAAAAUCCUUUGAUCUAUCGAUGACCACCUGUGGCGAAGGCGGUCUACCAGAACACGUUCGACGGUGAGGGAUGAAAGCUGGGGGAGCAAACCGGAUUAGAUACCCGGGUAGUCCCAGCUGUAAACGAUGCAGACUCGAUGAUGCAUUGGCAUAUAGCCAGUGCAGUGUCGCAGGGAAGCCGUUAAGUCUGCCGCCUGGGAAGUACGUACGCAAGUAUGAAACUUAAAGGAAUUGGCGGGGGAGCACCACAAGGGGUGAAGCCUGCGGUUC
Molecule: ribosomal RNA, 862 nt
Filed under: uncultured archaeon
Lineage: Archaea
Description: bacterial SSU rRNA
Rfam family: Archaeal small subunit ribosomal RNA
Source: RNAcentral